Molecule: long non-coding RNA, 786 nt
Filed under: Pan troglodytes (chimpanzee)
Lineage: Eukaryota; Metazoa; Chordata; Mammalia; Primates; Hominidae
Description: lincRNA
Source: RNAcentral
CAAACUUGGAAAUCAUGUCUUAGAGAUCAAGGAGCCAAGAGAUGAGACAAGCCUGGGUUCCUGGGUGUGGCUGUGUCCCCACCCAAAUCUCAUCUUGAAUUGCAGCUCCCAUAAUCCCCACAUGUUGUGGAGGGACCCUGUGGGAGGUAAUUGAAUUAUGGAGGAAGGCCUGAGGAGAGAAGACACAUAGUCAUGCUGACUAAACCAGAUCACCUAGAAUUACCAAAUGGAAAGAUUGUGCCUGCAGCCUGGCCUGUUGCCCACAGCGGUCUACCUGCCACACUGGGAAAGAUCGAGCAGAGACAGAGAAGAAAAGGAGGCUCCAUUUUUCAGGCUGCUCUCCCGCAGGCUCAUGUUUUGUGUUCAUGCCAGGCAGAGAACACAAAAUGUUCCAAUAAAUAAGUAUCAGAGGUUAGUGGUGAAAAUGAAGGAGGAGGAGGCAUUGCGUGAAAAACUAAACAUGCAAAAUAUUACACACAAAGAAAACCAAAAUGCAGGUUCACUGGAAAUGAUAGACAAUAUGUUAAAACAAGAGGAGAGAAGAGAGCUGAAAUAAUCAAAUGGAAACACACAAUUUAGGGCUAAGAUCUUGUUGUGUUCAGCCACAAAUGAUGGCCAGCAGUGAGGAAUCUGUGUGUUCUCCACACUCUUCGCUCCUGGGAAGUCAACUCACAUGGACCAUGAUAUCAAUAUCUGCUCCUUCCCCUAAUAUCUGUUUGACCUUGGGUCAGUUACUUAAACUUCCUAAGCCUUAGUUUCUUUGUCUGGAAAAUAGGGAUAGUUAUA